GGCCAGCAUCAGUUUUCUGGGGCGGAAAAUCACGGUUAGAAGGUAGCAGUUUCGGCUGUGUUAUAGCUUUCCGUUGGAUACGUCCUNGGGGACUGAGGAACGCAGUGUNCUUUUAGCGAGCUUCGGCCNNNUCACACUUAGGAUGCUNGUAGAAU
RNAcentral lists this ribosomal RNA (155 nucleotides) under Rhodosporidiobolus fluvialis. Its description in RNAcentral is "partial 26S rRNA". Lineage: Eukaryota; Fungi; Basidiomycota; Microbotryomycetes; Sporidiobolales; Sporidiobolaceae. The record is from RNAcentral.